AUGCUUGGCAGCACAUAUACUAAAACUUAGAAUCAUACAGAGAUUAACAUAGUCCCUGUGCAAGGAUGACAUGCAAAUUUGCGAAGCAUUCCAUAGAUAG
Small nuclear RNA from Mesocricetus auratus (golden hamster), 100 nucleotides. The record is from Ensembl. NCBI's taxonomy places the organism in Eukaryota, Metazoa, Chordata, Mammalia, Rodentia, Cricetidae.